This 343-nucleotide long non-coding RNA is filed under the name Prunus dulcis (almond). RNAcentral describes it as "sRNA ncRNA". The record is from RNAcentral. Lineage: Eukaryota; Viridiplantae; Streptophyta; Magnoliopsida; Rosales; Rosaceae.
GAGUCAUCUUCCUCGCAGCCAAUUUGCAGACUCAUCUGCGCAAUCUCUUCCGGUUCAGAAGUGUCCAGAUCUGGCACCGCCUUGCUCCGCCUCGCUUCUCCUGGCCACGCCUUGCAACGCCUCCUCACGCCUUUCCCGCCUUGUUGUACUGAGUCUUGAUUGGAUCUUCUUCGAAACAAAAAAACCAAAGCUUGAUUUGGAAGAGAUGGGGUACAUUGGGGCACAUGGUGUGGUUGCUUUGCAUAAAUAUAAGUAUAGUGGUGUGGAUCACUCCUACACUGCGAAAUAUGUAUUGCAACCCUUUUGGUGUCGCUUCGUUAAAAUAUUUCCCCUUUGGAUGCCG